CUGCGAAGGGGGGACGGAGAAGGCUAUGUUGGCCGGGCGACGGUUGUCCCGGUUUAAGCGUGUAGGUGUGUGUUCCAGGUAAAUCCGGUUCACUUUAACACUGAGGCGUGACGACGAGGCACUACGGUGCUGAAGCAACAAAUGCCCUGCUUCCAGGAAAAGCCUCUAAGCAUCAGGUAACAUCAAAUCGUACCCCAAACCGACACAGGUG
RNAcentral lists this ribosomal RNA (211 nucleotides) under Salmonella enterica. RNAcentral's name for it is "partial 23S ribosomal RNA". It matches the Rfam family "Bacterial large subunit ribosomal RNA", at positions 1456 to 1665 of the family's 2925-position model. RNAcentral also lists the same sequence under 2 other names. Lineage: Bacteria; Pseudomonadati; Pseudomonadota; Gammaproteobacteria; Enterobacterales; Enterobacteriaceae. The record is from RNAcentral.